GCAUAUCAAUAAGCGGAGGGAAAAGAAACCAACAGGGGAUUACCUCAGUAACGGCGAGUGAAGCGGUAACAGCUCAAAUUUGAAAUCUGGGCCCCUCGGGCCCCGAGUUGUAAUUUGUAGAAGAUGCUUCGGGUGCGGCGCCGGUCUAAGUUCCUUGGAACAGGACGUCGCAGAGGGUGAGAAUCCCGUAUGUGAUCGGCUGCCUGCGCCCGUGUGAAGCUCUUUCGACGAGUCGAGUUGUUUGGGAAUGCAGCUCUAAAUGGGUGGUAAAUUUCAUCUAAAGCUAAAUAUUGGCCAGAGACCGAUAGCGCACAAGUAGAGUGAUCGAAAGAUGAAAAGCACUUUGGAAAGAGAGUUAAACAGUACGUGAAAUUGUUGAAAGGGAAGCGCUUGCAACCAGACUUGGGCGGGGUCGAUCAUCUAGGGUUCUCCCUGGUGCACUCGACCCCGCGCAGGCCAGCAUCAGUUUCGGUGGCUGGACAAAGGCCAGGGGAAUGUAGCUUCUCUCGGGGAGUGUUAUAGCCCUCGGCGCAAUGCAGCCUACCGGGACUGAGGACCGCGCUUCGGCUAGGAUGCUGGCGUAAUGGUUGUAAGCGACCCGUCUUGAAACACGGACCAAGGAGUCUAACAUCUAUGCGAGUGUUUGGGUGUCAAACCCAUGCGCGGAAUGAAAGUGAACGGAGGUGAGACCCCUCAAGGGCGCAUCACCGACCGGUCCUGAUGUCUUCGGAUGGAUCUGAGUAAGAGCAUAGCUGUUGGGACCCGAAAGAUGGUGAACUAUGCCUGAAUAGGGUGAAGCCAGAGGAAACUCUGGUGGAGGCUCGCAGCGGUUCUGACGUGCAAAUCGAUCGUCAAAUUUGGGUAUAGGGGGCGAAAGACUAAAUCCGAACCAUCUAGUAGCUGGGUUUCCGUGCCGAAGUUUCCCCUUCCACGGAAACAA
RNAcentral lists this ribosomal RNA (940 nucleotides) under Dermea molliuscula. RNAcentral's name for it is "LSU rRNA". It matches the Rfam family "Eukaryotic large subunit ribosomal RNA", at positions 38 to 983 of the family's 3401-position model. Lineage: Eukaryota; Fungi; Ascomycota; Leotiomycetes; Helotiales; Dermateaceae. The record is from RNAcentral.